Molecule: ribosomal RNA, 396 nt
Filed under: uncultured bacterium
Lineage: Bacteria
Description: partial 16S ribosomal RNA
Rfam family: Bacterial small subunit ribosomal RNA
Source: RNAcentral
AUACGGAGGGUGCAAGCGUUAAUCGGAAUUACUGGGCGUAAAGCGCACGCAGGCGGUCUGUCAAGUCGGAUGUGAAAUCCCCGGGCUCAACCUGGGAACUGCAUUCGAAACUGGCAGGCUAGAGUCUUGUAGAGGGGGGUAGAAUUCCAGGUGUAGCGGUGAAAUGCGUAGAGAUCUGGAGGAAUACCGGUGGCGAAGGCGGCCCCCUGGACAAAGACUGACGCUCAGGUGCGAAAGCGUGGGGAGCAAACAGGAUUAGAUCCCCUGGUAGUCCACGCCGUAAACGAUGUCGACUUGGAGGUUGUGCCCUUGAGGCGUGGCUUCCGGAGCUAACGCGUUAAGUCGACCGCCUGGGGAGUACGGCCGCAAGGUUAAAACUCAAAUGAAUUGACGGGG